This is a long non-coding RNA of Octopus sinensis (East Asian common octopus), 103 nucleotides long. RefSeq lists it as uncharacterized. The transcript is spliced from 3 exons. Lineage: Eukaryota; Metazoa; Mollusca; Cephalopoda; Octopoda; Octopodidae. The record is from RefSeq and is a predicted model, not a curated record.
UUCUGAUUUUGUUGGUCUCUGGUAGAUGAACAGGGGCGUGAAUUGCUCGAGCCAAGUAAAAUGUGUGAGGCCUUCAAACAGCAUUUUGCCUGCGACUUUUCGG